AACGAACGCUGGCGGCAUGCCUAACACAUGCAAGUCGAACGAGACCUUCGGUUCUAGUGUCGCACGUGUGGGUAACGCGUGGGAACCUGCCCUUAGGGUCGGAAUAACGCCCCGAAAGGGGUGCUAAUACCGGGUAAUGUUGGCGGACCAAAGAUUUAUCGGCUUUGGAUGGGCCCGCGUUGGAUUAGCUAGUUGGUAGGGUGAAAGCGUACCAAGGCGACGAUCCAUAGCUGGUCUGAGAGGAUGAUAAGCCACACUGGGACUGAGACACGGCCCAGACUCAUACGGGAGGAAGGAGUGGGGAAUAGUGGAAACGGGGCGACAGGAUGAUCCAGCGAUGCCGGGUGAGUGAUGAAGGCCGUAGGGUUGUAAAGCUCUUUUAGCCGGUAUGAUAAUGACCGUACCGGGAGAAUGAGCCCCGGCUAACUCCGUG
RNAcentral lists this ribosomal RNA (433 nucleotides) under uncultured bacterium. RNAcentral describes it as "partial 16S ribosomal RNA". It matches the Rfam family "Bacterial small subunit ribosomal RNA", at positions 29 to 507 of the family's 1533-position model. The record is from RNAcentral.